CGUGUCCGUUUGUUGCAUGGGGGGUUGGGAAGGCUGAUGACGACAGGCACCUCUAACAUCCAGCUGUCUCUGAGUUCUGUCAGGACUCUGCUGGCAUUCAAACAGCUGGAGCUGGAUGCUUUCAAAUCUGUUUGUUGACAAGCUGUCAGGAAAAGCCCAAUGCCGAAGCGGACUGCACACUAUCUCCAAACGGGCUUGGACAGACAGAGAGAUAGAUGCUGGGUGAGAGAGAGAAAGAGAAAGAGAGAGAGCGAGAGAGAGAGAGAGAGGGAGGCAUCAGGAGACAGAGAGGGAGAGUGAAUGUUAAAAAUGAAAGGGCUGCAAAACAUCCAAUCAAAAGAAAAGGUGAUGAUUGCCAUUCCUCUAAGGUUUUCCUGGACAAAAUGUUGCUGUGUUUAUCUCCAGGCUGGUACCUAUUAUUGCCAGGGCCAACUUUUGAAUACUAAUCAUCUGGCAGAUAGGCCGCUUUGUUGCUGUUUCUGCUGCUGCUGCUGCUGCCGUCUUUGGCUUCUUGAAAUGAUUUGCAUGCAGAUAAAGAAGAUUCCUGUUUACAUUAUUGUACAAAAAAAAAAUGCUGUUUAUUCUCCUAACCACACAGAGACAUUCUGAAGCUCACAAUGCUGCUAUUUUUUUUCUUAAAUAACAUUCCCUUGCUUCAGAUAAAAAGUAAUGAAAUUGCAGUAGCAGCUUCAAAGUUUCUAUUUUUUUACUUGUGUAUAUUUCAGCCUUUUAGAUUGCAGUGUUCUAGCACGUCUUCUGUGAAAUAUAUUACCCUGCACAGUGUCAGCAUGGUCAUGAGACUCUUGAAAAAUACCCUGAGGGUCCAGCAAUGUUUUGGCAUCUUUGCCUAUUAAUGUGUUUUAAUGAUCAUGUGUUCUUGUGUGAUCAUCUGAAACCAUAAAAUGUUUUUAUUUCAUUUUUCAGGAGGCAUUUAUACACACAGAGCUAUGCAGACACCCACACUCAUACACACAAACACCUAUGCUCUCUCUCUCUCUCACACACACACACACACACACACUAAUGGUACCCUAUAGGGCAAUACCACUAUCAUGUUGAAAUGUGUUCCAGUGCUGUUCUGCCCUCCCUCUUCUCAGGUUAGAUGAAAGAGGCGAGUCUGGUAAUGUGUGUGUGUGUGUGUGUGUGUGUGUGUGUGUGUGUGUGUGUGAGUGUGAGUGUGUCCAUGAUAAUGUAGUGUAUACAGUAUAUGUACAUAUAACUCAGAGUGUAUAUUCAUGUGUGUGAGAGUUGUGUUGUGUACUGCAUGUAUGGGAAUGUGUGUUUUGUGAUAGAGGAGGAGUUGUGUCAUGUUUGCAUCUGUAUUUGAGCAUGCAUGCAUGUGUGUGUGUGUGUGUGUGUGUGUGUGUAUGUGUGUUCAUGUUCACAUUUCAUCUUUGCAGCAGCAGGACUACCCUUUACCUUGUUAUGCUGCCAGCUUGAGGCCUGUAGGCUUACCGCGAGAACACAGAGGACCCGGGGAGACACACAUACACACACACACACUCACACACACAUACACACAAUCACAUACACACACACACACUCACACACACACAUACACACACUCACACACACAUACACACACACUCACACACACAUACACACACACACACACACACACACACACACACACACACACACACACACACCAACACUACAGCGACAGAUAAGCUCGGCAGGCACCACCCCCUGGGAGACGGAUAGGGGACAGCUCGCUCACUGGCCGUGGCGAGACACACACACACUCACACUCACACACAUGAAGUCCCGUGAUAAUCUACCCCACCCGCAGGACAUGCGGCACGGGGUCCCACUCCGUCAUGGGCAUACGGCGUCGUAAUCCCGCGUUCAGUUGGGAUUACCGUCCCUCUCCCAGACUGGAUGAAAGGCACUGCGACGAUACGCAUCCCCUUCCAGUCAUGCUAAUCCUGCUUGCUCUCUCACACACUCGCAGGAAAUCUUGUCAUUGAACGAUGACAAAUGAAGACACCGGGCGUCAACGCCACAAAGCCGAUCACAAUCACACGGCCUGGACUGACUCUGCGUGCACAGUACCUGGAGCAGCCUGAUGAGAGCUCUACUUCAGAUUAUAAUCUCAUGACGUAAAAUAGCUUUCACUGAGAGUGAGGAAGUGAGAGAGCGAGAGAGAGAGAGAGAGACAGAAGAAGGGACAAAGUCAGACACAGUCACGUCGUUUUUCCCCCUUUUUUUCUGAAACAUGAAAACAGCUAGUCAGCGGGUACAAAAAUUAAUAUUUAGGUCAUAUGAAAAAUGAAUAAGGAUUCCUUAUUGAAUGAAACUCUGCAACCCCCCCCCCCCCCCUCCCAGUGCUUCAGAUGUGGACAUCCGAGCGAAGUUGGCAGAGGUGAAAAAGUGACGAUGCCAACUGAGCCCACUGCUAGCAUUUCCGCUUGCACUGUGAAAUAUUUGCCAGCUACCAGAAAAAGGAAGGAAAACGACAGGCAAAAAAAAUGAAUAAAUAAAUAACGCUCUGAAUUUUGCCCAUGUACAGAGAGG
This is a long non-coding RNA of Clupea harengus (Atlantic herring), 2517 nucleotides long. The record is from Ensembl. NCBI's taxonomy places the organism in Eukaryota, Metazoa, Chordata, Actinopteri, Clupeiformes, Clupeidae.